ACGGGAGGCAGCAGUGAGGAAUAUUGGUCAAUGGAGGCAACUCUGAACCAGCCAUCUCGCGUGAAGGAAUACGGCCCUACGGGUCUUAAACUUCUUUUAUAGGGGGAUAAAGUGAGGCAUGCAUGCCUUUUUGUAGGUACCCUAUGAAUAAGCAUCGGCUAACUCCGUGCCAGCAGCCGCGGUAAUACGGAGGAUCCGAGCGUUAUCCGGAUUUAUUGGGUUUAAAGGGUGCGUAGGCGGGCUGUUAAGUCAGCGGUGAAACCCCCGGGCUCAACCCGGGGACUGCCAUUGAAACUGGCGGCCUUGAGUACGUUGGGAGUGCGCGGAAUGUGUGGUGUAGCGGUGAAAUGCAUAGAUAUCACACAGAACACCGAUCGCGUAGGCAGCGCACUACGCCGCAACUGACGCUGAGGCACGAAGGCGCGGGGAUCGAACAGGAUUAGAUACCCUGGUA
Molecule: ribosomal RNA, 454 nt
Filed under: uncultured Paludibacter sp.
Lineage: Bacteria; Pseudomonadati; Bacteroidota; Bacteroidia; Bacteroidales; Paludibacteraceae
Description: partial 16S ribosomal RNA
Rfam family: Bacterial small subunit ribosomal RNA
Source: RNAcentral